This is a non-coding RNA of Acanthosepion pharaonis, 97 nucleotides long. The record is from the annotation of a GenBank genome assembly. Lineage: Eukaryota; Metazoa; Mollusca; Cephalopoda; Sepiida; Sepiidae.
UGGCCAUAUCACGUCGAAACACCGCUUCUCAUACGAUCAGCGAAGUUAAGCAACGUCGAGCCUGGUCAGUACGUAGAUAGGUGACAACUUGGGAUUA